UCCUACGGGGGGCAGCAGUGAGGAAUAUUGGUCAAUGUUCGGGAGACUGAACCAGCCAAGCCGCGUGAGGGAUGAAGGUACAGAGUAUCGUAAACCUCUUUUGUCAGGGAACAAAGGCGGGGACGUGUCCCCGGAUGAGUGUACCUGAAGAAAAAGCAUCGGCUAACUCCGUGCCAGCAGCCGCGGUAAUACGGAGGAUGCGAGCGUUAUCCGGAUUUAUUGGGUUUAAAGGGUGCGCAGGCGGUCUGUUAAGUCAGCGGUCAAAGCCCGGGGCUCAACCCCGGCCCGCCGUUGAAACUGGCAGU
This 305-nucleotide ribosomal RNA is filed under the name uncultured bacterium. Its description in RNAcentral is "bacterial SSU rRNA". It matches the Rfam family "Bacterial small subunit ribosomal RNA", at positions 337 to 640 of the family's 1533-position model. The record is from RNAcentral.